GCAGGGAAUAUUGCACAAUGGACGGAAGUCUGAUGCAGCGACGCCGCGUGAGUGAUGGAGGCCUUCGGGUUGUAAAACUCUUUUCGGGAGGAAGAGCGAGGACGGUACUCCCAGAAAAAGCGUCGGCUAACUACGUGCCAGCAGCCGCGGUAAUACGUAGGACGCGAGCGUUAUCCGGAUUUACUGGGCGUAAAGCGUCUGUAGGCGGUGGGGUAAGUUGGGCGUGAAAGCUCCGGGCUUAACUCGGAGAGUGCGUUCAAUACUGCUGAACUAGAGGGCGUAAGAGGGGAGCGGAAUUUCCAGUGUAGCGGUAAAAUGCGCAGAUAUUGGAAGGAACACCCGUGGCGAAGGCGGCUCCCUGGUGCGCACCUGACGCUGAGAGACGAAAGCUAGGGGAGCGAACAGGAUUAGAAACCCUAGUAGUCC
Molecule: ribosomal RNA, 426 nt
Filed under: uncultured bacterium
Lineage: Bacteria
Description: bacterial SSU rRNA
Rfam family: Bacterial small subunit ribosomal RNA
Source: RNAcentral